AUGGAUGCAAGGAGGGGAGGGGCAGGGGGAGUAGCUCGGUCCCGAUCAUCCUUUCUUGCAGCAUGGUGCAAACCAUACCCAGGGGUCACGGACCCGCUCAUAGCUGAAGCUUUUGCUAUCCGCGAUGGAGUCAUCUUCGCGCAUCUUCGGGGCUAUGAAGAAGUGGUUCUGGAGUCUGAUAAUUUGGAGAUUGUGAAUCUCUGGAACUCGUGUCACAUCUCUCGUGCGGUGGUGGCGCCUAUCUUUUCUGAAAUUGAGGAGCAUGUUCCUUCGUUUAAGUCUUUUGUAGUUCAGCAUGUCGAUAGGGCAGCCGACGUCCCUGCUCAUCUCUGUACGAAGUAAGCGAGCACUUUAGAUGUUACAGAGUGUUGGCUUGAUACCACAUCAAGUUUUCUUGUAACUAGCCUCUCAGCAGAUUUUGCUGAGAUUUUGCUGGAGGAGUUGAUGUUGAAUAAAGAGCUCCCGGUUUCACCCUCACAAAAAAAAACUAUUACAUCCUGCCGUUUCCGAUUGGACGGCCGUGGAUCCCCGAGCGAGAACCACGCGGCCGAGAUGCGUGCGAUGCGGAUCCCCGGGAAACCAGAUAAGAAACGAUAA
This 597-nucleotide ribosomal RNA is filed under the name Triticum aestivum (bread wheat). RNAcentral's name for it is "partial small subunit ribosomal RNA". The record is from RNAcentral. Lineage: Eukaryota; Viridiplantae; Streptophyta; Magnoliopsida; Poales; Poaceae.